UACGAAGGGGGCUAGCGUUGCUCGGAAUCACUGGGCGUAAAGGGUGCGUAGGCGGGUUUUUAAGUCAGGGGUGAAAUCCUGGAGCUCAACUCCAGAACUGCCUUUGAUACUGAAGAUCUUGAGUCCGGGAGAGGUGAGUGGAACUGCGAGUGUAGAGGUGAAAUUCGUAGAUAUUCGCAAGAACACCAGAGGCGAAGGCGGCUCACUGGCCCGGUACUGACGCUGAGGCACGAAAGCGUGGGGAGCGAACAGG
This 253-nucleotide ribosomal RNA is filed under the name uncultured bacterium. RNAcentral's name for it is "partial 16S ribosomal RNA". It matches the Rfam family "Bacterial small subunit ribosomal RNA", at positions 524 to 776 of the family's 1533-position model. The record is from RNAcentral.